UAGGGAAUCUUCCACAAUGGACGAAAGUCUGAUGGAGCAACGUCGCGUGAGUGAAGAAGGGUUUCGGCUCGUAAAACUCUGUUGUUAAAGAAGAACAUAUCUGAGAGUAACUGUUCAGGUAUUGACGGUAUUUAACCAGAAAGCCACGGCUAACUACGUGUCAG
This 164-nucleotide ribosomal RNA is filed under the name uncultured bacterium. RNAcentral's name for it is "partial 16S ribosomal RNA". It matches the Rfam family "Bacterial small subunit ribosomal RNA", at positions 355 to 511 of the family's 1533-position model. The record is from RNAcentral.